UUUACCUUGAUGAUAUUAAACCAUAGAAAACGGUGUGGCUUAUCCAAGCGCCAAAGUGGUGCAUACCUGGAAACCAUCCAAUCCCAGGUUUGGUGAGACUUAAGAAAUAAUAUUUGUAGACAAAAAGGUAAAUACUUAGAAAUGUUAACAUGUUUUUUGAUUUUUUCGUGAGAUCAUGGACUAACAUCUGUGGUAAAAUAAAUGUUCUUCGAUGGAUAAAAAUAUAAGCUACAUGUAGGAAGAACUAUUUGAAGUCUUUGGGUGAUGAAUGCAAUGUUGGCGAAUGGAAGACUCUAUUUAUUUUAUGGCACAGAUUAAUUUAUUUUAUUAAUAUAUAAAUAUUAAAUUAACUUUUUGAUUUAUAUCAACUAUUUAACUAUUAUACAAAGUAACUGUUAAAUAAUAAAAUCUUGGGAUAAUUAAGAUAAGAAAUACUUUUUAUCUAGAAAAUAAGAAUAUUUUUUUUUAAAUUAUUAUAUUUUACAUAUUUAAAAUAAUUAUAUAUUGUUUAAGUUUCUACAAUUUUAACAAACGUAUUAAUUGUAUAGAUUGUAUACCUUUUGAGUGUUGGUGACCAUAUUUGUUUGUACGGCUUAAACUUUCAAUAAAAACUUAUUUAUUAAUAAGGCAUCGUAACAUGUUUCCAGCUCAUCGGAAUAACCAAGAAAGUCAUCAGAUCCAACAUGCAAAAGAGAUUAAAAAAGGGGACGAGAUAUAUGUGACAGAUUAAUAAGAGAAACUAAUGUAACUGAG
Long non-coding RNA from Brassica napus (rape), 753 nucleotides. RefSeq lists it as uncharacterized. The record is from RefSeq and is a predicted model, not a curated record. The transcript has 2 exons. Lineage: Eukaryota; Viridiplantae; Streptophyta; Magnoliopsida; Brassicales; Brassicaceae.